UCCGACCUCAGAUCGGACGAGAUUACCCGCUGAAUUUAAGCAUAUUACUAAAAGCGGAGA
This 60-nucleotide ribosomal RNA is filed under the name Medora italiana. RNAcentral describes it as "partial 28S ribosomal RNA". The record is from RNAcentral. RNAcentral also lists the same sequence under 6 other names. Lineage: Eukaryota; Metazoa; Mollusca; Gastropoda; Stylommatophora; Clausiliidae.